CCCAAAGUUCCAAAGCGAGGCAGGGGUCGAGCUGGUGCUCUAACCAGGCCUUAUGAUGCCGACUAAGCCCUGUGGCACACCGUCCUCGCUGCUGUUCCUUGGAGGUGGAGUUUAGGUCUCUGAUCAGGAAUACAGUGUCACAAACUAAGGGCUCCAUGGUUUUCUUCUCCAUGUUACCGGUGAAGAAACUGAGGCCCCGAAAGUCAUUUGGUUAAAUAGUUAUAGAGGUGACUUUUCAACAAGUAACACCGAGGACUUGAAGCCAUCCCUCUCUGCGCUGCAUGACAGAUACAGGUGACCCUCACACAACCUGAACCAAUAAAAUGGGCAAUUCCACAGAAGAGUGAAGCCUUCUUCCAGAAUAGAGGCCCUGAGCUCCUUCUUCAUGCCAGGUAAUGAGACCGGGUGCUAGACUAGGUCCUUCGGCCAAGGAACCGACAAUCUACUGGGGUCAAGGGGGUGACGUACACCUGUACACAGAGAAGCGAACAAGCACGAGACAGGAAGAAAAUACUAGCAGUGAGGAGAACCAGAGGUGUCACGUGAGCUGAACCUAGAAGGAAGAUAGAAACUCAUAGGGCGGAGAGGCGCUGCUUGGCUUUGGAAGCCCUGACUUUGGGAGCCACCUCUCCCGGGCUGAGAGAUUGUUGCCCGCAGCUCCACGGGAAGGGCCUGAAGGACCCUGGGCGGCGGAGCAAGGCCGGGCGUCUGAAGCGCCCUGAAAUUCGAAUGGAGAGGUCCUCGGGAGGGAGUUCUAAAUGAGGGUGCUGAAAACGGUGAUGGCGCUCAAUAAAAGCUUUGACAACUGAUGGCUACUGGGGGGAAGGGGAGGAGCGGCGGCUGCUGGAAGACAUUGCUCCGGCGUGCUUGGGCCCCGAGGAGGGCAUUCUCGGGAGCUAGAAUCCUGCCCCGGAGGAUCCGCGCCCCACGGCUGGCCAACGGAGUCUCUGAGAGUCC
This 957-nucleotide long non-coding RNA is filed under the name Sarcophilus harrisii (Tasmanian devil). RNAcentral describes it as "lncRNA (ENSSHAG00000027140.1)". The record is from RNAcentral. Lineage: Eukaryota; Metazoa; Chordata; Mammalia; Dasyuromorphia; Dasyuridae.